Molecule: long non-coding RNA, 810 nt
Organism: Rhopalosiphum padi (bird cherry-oat aphid)
Lineage: Eukaryota; Metazoa; Arthropoda; Insecta; Hemiptera; Aphididae
Exons: 4
Source: RefSeq, a predicted model, not a curated record
UUUGUAUUUGAGUUUCAACUGUCAAUUGUUUUCAAUAAUUUUGUAAAAAAAUGAAGUUUGUCAGUUAGUUUAUGUUUUGAUUGUUUCCAUUUCAAAAUUAUUCAGUGUUGUCCACGUACUAGUUGUUAUAUAAAAAUUGUUGUCCUCCUUACGGUGUCUAGUAGCGACAUUUUAUCCUCCAAACAUUAUACAUAUUUAACUUACAAUUUUUUUUUUAGAUGGCAGUACAGCAGAUCAUUCAAUACAUGCUGAGACAUGAAUUCACAUUUCUACCACUAUGCUAAAUAUCAACAUCCUACGUUGAAAAUGUACUAGACGAUACUGCUAAUAAUAAUGGUUUUGUGCAACGUGCGUGUAAUGGAUGGCAGUACAGCAGAUCACUCAAUACAUGCUGAGACAUGAAUUCACAUUUCUACCACUAUGCAAAAUAUCAACAUCCUACGUUGAAAAUGUACUAGACGAUACUGCUAAUAAUAAGGGUUUUGUGCAACAUGGCAGUACAGCAGAUCACUCGAGGCAUGCUGAGACCAUGAAUUCACAUUUCUAUCACUUGGGAAAGUUACAACAUCUUCCGUUGUAAAUGGAAUAGAAGAUGGCAGUAUAUCAGAUCAAUCAAGGCACGCUGAGACACGAAUUCACAUUUCUACCACCAAGGAAAGUAUCAACAUCCUAUGUUGAAAAUGGACUAGAAGAUACUGAUAAUAAUAUUGGAUUUAUGCAAUGUGCGUGCAAUGGUUAUUGAAUAUAAUUGAUACUAAAUUAAUACCUGUGAAACAAUUGAGAUUUGUUAAAUAUCUGAAUAAAAUAAUA